UUCAACUGUAAAUCAGUUUUACCUCCCCACUGGUCUUUUACAAUCGAUCGUCUACCCAUACAGACAUUUUUUACUACCCAAGUUAUACGUAAUUUUCGCAUACAGACAGAUAAAUUUUGGUGCCGAACUGUAAAUUCAGCAUUUGGGUAUGCGUUUUGGCUAAACGUACCCAAAGUGGUAAAAUUAUCUAUCUGCAUCACCGAUAAAAUAAUGUGUGCGACGCGCAUACCGACUGAAAUUCGGCAAAACUUAGGCGUUCGCGAACGAUCUUUUCGGUAGAUAAAUUAAAUGGAUGUGAUUUUCGUUACGAAAUUUACAGCAGUUGUAUUCUGGCAACAUAAUAAUUCAGAUUCAAGUUUAGUUUCAAGUGAGAAUGUGAAAAAUUUUCUGUGACCACCCAAGUUAUGCUGAGUUUUGCGUAGUCUGAGAUGGCGCUUCCAUCGCAGACGGGAGAUACGCAAGAAGCGUUUAGACACGCUUCCGCGUUGUGUGUGCGGUUAAGUAGGUGGAGUGGAUCAAGUGGAAUUUUUUGCAUUUUUCAUCAGAGAAUAAAGGUUCGUGGGCAAGAAUACGGAUCCAUCUGGCGAAAUGAGUUUUGCGAUUGUCUCAUCGGACCGCACCCUCUGAUUGAGUGAAAUCAUUUUACUAUGAUUUAUUGAAGGACCUUAGUUGCCAUGCUAUGCCGACAAUGAUUCGUAAUCUUGCACGUUGCACUUCCUUUGAACCGUUCCAGCUUACUGCGCUGACCAUUGACUCUUAUCUUUCAAACCACGCCUUCGUUUAAGCCAAAUAUCCAUGAUUUUCUGAAAGCUUCUGUUUCGAUCAGACUUAAGCUAACUAUGCUAAGCCACAACUCAUCUUCUGCUUGAAUUCUUCCAAAGGUCAGAGAUUUUCAUUUUUAUUCGGUCAUUCGACAGGAAAAUUCCCAUCAAGAAGAUUGUCAGAUUCAAAAUUGUAUAUCCUCUAUGAAUAGGGCUAUCUACGACAUCAAGGGAGAUGAAACUACAAAGAGUAGUAGCAGGGUGGAAAGAAGAAAGUCAGCAAAAGGAGUGUUGUUCAAAAAUCCACCAAUGAUUUCUCCACAAUUCAAAACGUUAAUGCGGGAUUUUGAUAAUUAUCGGAGCUUGUGGGGUAUUUAGAUUAUAGGGUAUUUUGAGCAUAUAAAUGUAUAUACUCAACAACUACCAAAUAAAUAUAGCAUUCAUAUAGUUUACGUCCUAGGUUAAGCAUGUAAAUCUGUACCUAAACACUACCGAAGAAAAAUAUCAUAAGUUUGAAAUAAAUGUAUCAUUUGCUAUCACUAAUUCAUUUCUAAUGCCAUAAAUUUGUUGAUGCGGGUAGUUCAAAUCACCUAUCACGCAGAUUGAAUUUACCUACACGGGUUGUAAAAUCCACUCUGUUCACCUCGGAGUUAUUUUUACCCUUCAACGAGGAUAAUCUUGAUUUAUGUCCCCACAUACUACGUAAAUUUAUCGACCCAAAAAAAAAAUAAAACUACAUACCCAUGGGUAGGCAUAUUUCUCUACCCAGACUAGGUAACAAGGCGUUGCACCACCCACACGGGUAAAUUUACCCUCAAAAUUU
Molecule: long non-coding RNA, 1584 nt
Filed under: Neodiprion lecontei (redheaded pine sawfly)
Lineage: Eukaryota; Metazoa; Arthropoda; Insecta; Hymenoptera; Diprionidae
Description: uncharacterized LOC124295599, transcript variant X2
Source: RNAcentral